GACGAACGCUGGCGGCGUGCCUAAUACAUGCAAGUUGAGCGCUGAAGGUUGGUACUUGUACCAACUGGAUGAGCAGCGAACGGGUGAGUAACGCGUGGGGAAUCUGCCUUUGAGCGGGGGACAACAUUUGGAAACGAAUGCUAAUACCGCAUAAAAACUUUAAACACAAGUCUUAAGUUUGAAAGAUGCAAUUGCAUCACUCAAAGAUGAUCCCGCGUUGUAUUAGCUAGUUGGUGAGGUAAAGGCUCACCAAGGCGAUGAUACAUAGCCGACCUGAGAGGGUGAUCGGCCACAUUGGGACUGAGACACGGCCCAAACUCCUACGGGAGGCAGCAGUAGGGAAUCUUCGGCAAUGGACGAAAGUCUGACCGAGCAACGCCGCGUGAGUGAAGAAGGUUUUCGGAUCGUAAAACUCUGUUGGUAGAGAAGAACGUUGGUGAGAGUGGAAAGCUCAUCAAGUGACGGUAACUACCCAGAAAGGGACGGCUAACUACGUG
RNAcentral lists this ribosomal RNA (497 nucleotides) under uncultured bacterium. Its description in RNAcentral is "partial 16S ribosomal RNA". It matches the Rfam family "Bacterial small subunit ribosomal RNA", at positions 28 to 507 of the family's 1533-position model. The record is from RNAcentral.